UGGGGGAUUUUCCGCAAUGGGCGAAAGCCUGACGGAGCAAUACCGCGUGCGGGAGGAAGGCCUUUGGGUCGUAAACCGCUUUUAACAGGGAAGAAGAUCUGACGGUACCUGUUGAAUAAGCCUCGGCUAACUCCGUGCCAGCAGCCGCGGUAAGACGGAGGAGGCAAGCGUUAUCCGGAAUUAUUGGGCGUAAAGCGUCCGCAGGUGGCGCUUCAAGUCUGCUGUCAAAGACCAGAGCUCAACUCUGGGCAGGCGGUGGAAACUGGGGAGCUAGAGUACGGUAGGGGUAGAGGGAAUUUCCAGUGUAGCGGUGAAAUGCGUAGAGAUUGGAAAGAACACCAGUGGCGAAGGCGCUCUACUGGACCUGUACUGACACUAAGGGACGAAAGCUAGGGGAGCGAAAGGGAUUAGAUACCCCCGUAGUCC
This 426-nucleotide ribosomal RNA is filed under the name uncultured prokaryote. RNAcentral describes it as "bacterial SSU rRNA". It matches the Rfam family "Bacterial small subunit ribosomal RNA", at positions 355 to 796 of the family's 1533-position model. The record is from RNAcentral.